UAGUCCACGCCCUAAACGAUGAUUACUCGAUGUGUGCAAUACACCGUACGCGUCUAAGCGGAAGCGUUAAGUAAUCCACCUGGGAAGUACGUUCGCAAGAAUGAAACUCAAAGGGAUUGACGGGGGCCCGCACAAGCGGAGGAGCAUGUGGUUUAAUUCGAUGAUACGCGAGGAACCUUACCUGGGCUUGAAAGUUAGUGAAUAACUUGGAAACAGUUAGUCAGCAAUGACACGAAACUAGGUGCUGCAUGGUUGUCGUCAGCUCGUGCCGUGAGGUGUUGGGUUAAGUCCCGUAACGAGCGCAACCCUUAUCAUUAGUUACCAGCGAGUAAUGUCGGGGACUCUAAUGAGACUGCCUACGCAAGUAGUGAGGAAGGUGGGGAUGACGUCAAAUCAUCACGGGCCCUUACGUCCUGGGGCUACACACGUGCUACAAUGGGUAGGGGACAGAGAGCAGCCACUGGGGCGACCAGGGGANCGGAAUCUAUAAACCCUAUCACAGUUCGGGAUCGGGAGUCU
This 519-nucleotide ribosomal RNA is filed under the name uncultured bacterium. Its description in RNAcentral is "bacterial SSU rRNA". It matches the Rfam family "Bacterial small subunit ribosomal RNA", at positions 791 to 1306 of the family's 1533-position model. The record is from RNAcentral.